CCCGCCUCCCGAGCGGGGGCCGCGCAGCCGCGUCUGAAAAGACGGUUAAACUUUUAGGUCUUUCUUUUCCAUUUGUUGCAGCGACUUCGCCAACAACAAGGCACGUUCCGGUGCGGUCCAAUACGGUACGGAACGGUCAGGUCCGGUCCGGAGCGGUGCGCGCUCGCCCACCGCCGCGGACACAGUGCAAAAAUUAUCGCCGAUCUUCGCGUUAACUACAAGCGGCCGCUAAUUCAAAUAUUGUGUACACAUGUGUAAUUGAUAAAUAGCAGCUAUUUGAAACUCACAAACCGCUCCGGAAACACUACUACGUUUUACUUCCGUGUCGGAUAAAGACUGUAUUCGCGUUAUAAUAUUAAAUUAUCUGAAUAAGUUAAAUUAUCAGAUGCUAAGUGUAAGUAAGUACUACAUGACUGUGGCUAUUUAACGGUCAGUCGGCUCAGUGUAGGCCGCAGCGUAUUUCAAAGAUCUAAUCCAGAGUCUCACAGGUCUACUAGGCGGCAAGUUCAACCAGAACCAAUUCAUUAAAGGUAGAUUGAAAUCCCGUUUGUUUCCGACAGCAGUGUGUACUACAGGACUGGGGCGGUGUGUACUACACUCGCUGUAUCG
Molecule: unclassified non-coding RNA, 609 nt
Filed under: Melitaea cinxia (Glanville fritillary)
Lineage: Eukaryota; Metazoa; Arthropoda; Insecta; Lepidoptera; Nymphalidae
Description: misc RNA ENSMCXG00005001616.1
Source: RNAcentral